RNAcentral lists this ribosomal RNA (429 nucleotides) under Pseudomonadota bacterium. RNAcentral describes it as "Proteobacteria bacterium partial 16S ribosomal RNA". It matches the Rfam family "Bacterial small subunit ribosomal RNA", at positions 355 to 776 of the family's 1533-position model. Lineage: Bacteria; Pseudomonadati; Pseudomonadota. The record is from RNAcentral.
UGGGGAAUAUUGGACAAUGGGCGAAAGCCUGAUCCAGCCAUGCCGCGUGUGUGAAGAAGGUCUUCGGAUUGUAAAGCACUUUAAGUUGGGAGGAAGGGCAGUAAGCGAAUACCUUGCUGUUUUGACGCUACCGACAGAAUAAGCACCGGCUAACUCUGUGCCAGCAGCCGCGGUAAUACAGAGGGUGCAAGCGUUAAUCGGAAUUACUGGGCGUAAAGCGCGCGUAGGUGGUUCGUUAAGUUGAAUGUGAAAGCCCCGGGCUCAACCUGGGAACUGCAUCCAAAACUGGCGAGCUAGAGUAGGGCAGAGGGUGGUGGAAUUUCCUGUGUAGCGGUGAAAUGCGUAGAUAUAGGAAGGAACACCAGUGGCGAAGGCGACCACCUGGGCUCAUACUGACACUGAGGUGCGAAAGCGUGGGGAGCAAACAGG